GGGGGGAAGGCCGAUCCCCGGCCGGUGUCCCCGGCGCCCCGUGCUCCGGGACCUGCAGUGUUGGAUUCGCGCUCCCGGCCGCACAGCCCCCU
Molecule: non-coding RNA, 92 nt
Organism: Canis lupus familiaris (dog)
Lineage: Eukaryota; Metazoa; Chordata; Mammalia; Carnivora; Canidae
Source: Rfam